GACGAACGCUGGCGGCGUGCCUAAUACAUGCAAGUUGAGCGAUGAAGAUUGGUGCUUGCACCAAUUUGAAGAGCAGCGAACGGGUGAGUAACGCGUGGGGAAUCUGCCUUUGAGCGGGGGACAACAUUUGGAAACGAAUGCUAAUACCGCAUAACAACUUUAAACAUAAGUUUUAAGUUUGAAAGAUGCAAUUGCAUCACUCAAAGAUGAUCCCGCGUUGUAUUAGCUAGUUGGUGAGGUAAAGGCUCACCAAGGCGAUGAUACAUAGCCGACCUGAGAGGGUGAUCGGCCACAUUGGGACUGAGACACGGCCCAAACUCCUACGGGAGGCAGCAGUAGGGAAUCUUCGGCAAUGGACGAAAGUCUGACCGAGCAACGCCGCGUGAGUGAAGAAGGUUUUCGGAUCGUAAAACUCUGUUGGUAGAGAAGAACGUUGGUGAGAGUGGAAAGCUCAUCAAGUGACGGUAACUAUCCAGAAAGGGACGGCUAACUACGUG
This 497-nucleotide ribosomal RNA is filed under the name uncultured bacterium. RNAcentral's name for it is "partial 16S ribosomal RNA". It matches the Rfam family "Bacterial small subunit ribosomal RNA", at positions 28 to 507 of the family's 1533-position model. The record is from RNAcentral.